GUAGUCGGAUUCACAUCAAUCCACAUGUGUUGAGGUGGAUUAGAGUGGAACUUGAAUUAAAUUCCACCUCAAUCCACACCAACACAUGGAUUGAAGUGGAUCCGACA
Molecule: microRNA precursor, 107 nt
Organism: Sorghum bicolor (sorghum)
Lineage: Eukaryota; Viridiplantae; Streptophyta; Magnoliopsida; Poales; Poaceae
Rfam family: MIR5565 microRNA precursor family
Source: Rfam